RNAcentral lists this ribosomal RNA (460 nucleotides) under uncultured bacterium. RNAcentral describes it as "partial 16S ribosomal RNA". It matches the Rfam family "Bacterial small subunit ribosomal RNA", at positions 338 to 795 of the family's 1533-position model. The record is from RNAcentral.
CCUACGGGUGGCAGCAGUGAGGAAUAUUGGUCAAUGGACGAGAGUCUGAACCAGCCAAGUAGCGUGAAGGAUGACUGCCCUAUGGGUUGUAAACUUCUUUUAUAUGGGAAUAAAAUGUUCCACGUGUGGGAUUUUGUAUGUACCAUAUGAAUACGGAUCGGCUAACUCCGUGCCAGCAGCCGCGGUAAUACGGAGGAUCCGAGCGUUAUCCGGAUUUAUUGGGUUUAAAGGGAGCGUAGGUGGAUUGUUAAGUCAGUUGUGAAAGUUUGCGGCUCAACCGUAAAAUUGCAGUUGAAACUGGCAGUCUUGAGUACAGUAGAGGUGGGCGGAAUGCGUGGUGUAGCGGUGAAAUGCUUAGAUAUCACGAAGAACUCCGAUUGCGAAGGCAGUUCACUGGACUGCAACUGACACUGAGGCUCGAAAGUGUGGGUAUCAAACAGGAUUAGAUACCCUAGUAGUC